Long non-coding RNA from Scatophagus argus, 840 nucleotides. RefSeq lists it as uncharacterized. The record is from RefSeq and is a predicted model, not a curated record. The transcript is spliced from 4 exons. NCBI's taxonomy places the organism in Eukaryota, Metazoa, Chordata, Actinopteri, Scatophagidae.
CUGCAGAAACAACAACAUCUGUUCCAAUAACAACAGCUGCAGAAACAACAUCUAUUCCAACUACCACAGUUGCAGGAACAACAACAUCUUCUGUCACAACACUGGCAGCAACAACAACACCUGCUGUGACCACACCUGCCAAUCUUGCAACUGCUGCACCAACAGCUGUGGCACUAACAACAUUAAGGGUGACUUUCAGAUCUCUUCAAAACACAUUUACAAAUGACUUGAGGGAUUCAUCAUCGGCAGCUUUUAGAAAUCUAGCUUCAGUGAUAAAGACACAGCUUGAACCUCAGUUUCAAAUGACAUUCCCUUCCUUGUUCAAGUCAUUGGAAAUUGUAUCAUUCAGAAAUGGAUCAGUCAUCACUGAAAUGAAUGUCACCUUUGAAAGUGCAUCUGUGCCAAACAACACACAAAUUACAAGUGUUUUGACCAGUGCAGCUUCAAACGUCACCGGCUUUGACAUUGAAGGAAGCUCCAUUACUGUGAAUGGCAUAGCUCUGACAACCACAGCUGCAGAAACAACAACAUCUGUCCCAAUAACAACAGCUGCAGAAACAACAUCUAUUCCACCAACCACAGCUGCAGGAACAACAACACCUGCUCCAACAACAACAGCUGCGGAGACAUCAACACCUUCUGUAACAACACUGGCUGCAACAACAACAGCUGCCCCAACAACAACAGCUGCAGUAACAACACCUGUUCCAACAACACCUGCAGAAACAACGACACCUGUUCCAACAACAACAGCUGGAGAAACAACAACACCUUCUGUAGCAGCUGCAGAAACAACAACAUCUGUUCCAACAACAUCUGCAGUAACAACAACACUUGCCU